This 253-nucleotide ribosomal RNA is filed under the name uncultured bacterium. RNAcentral's name for it is "partial 16S ribosomal RNA". It matches the Rfam family "Bacterial small subunit ribosomal RNA", at positions 524 to 776 of the family's 1533-position model. The record is from RNAcentral.
UACGUAGGGGGCAAGCGUUAUCCGGAUUUACUGGGUGUAAAGGGCGUGUAGGCGGGAGAGCAAGUCAGACGUGAAAUUCCAGGGCUCAACCCUGGAACUGCGUUUGAAACUGUUCUUCUUGAGUGAUGGAGAGGCAGGCGGAAUUCCGUGUGUAGCGGUGAAAUGCGUAGAUAUACGGAGGAACACCAGUGGCGAAGGCGGCCUGCUGGACAUUAACUGACCCUGAGGCGCGAAAGCGUGGGGAGCAAACAGG